GAUGAACGCUGGCGGCGUGCUUAACACAUGCAAGUCGAACGGAAAGGCCCAAGGUUGCUUGGUUACUCGAGUGGCGAACGGGUGAGUAACACGUGGGGGAUCUGCCCUGCACUUCGGGAGAAGCCUUGGGAACUGGGUCUAAUACCGGAUAGGACGAUGGGUUGGAUGCCAUUGUGGAAAGAUUGUUCGGUGUGGGGUGAGCUCGCGGCGUAUCAGCUUGUUGGUGGGGUAAUGGCCUACCAAGGCGUCGACGGGUAGCCGGCCUGAGAGGGUGUACGGCCACAUUGGGACUGAGAUACGGCCCAGACUCCUACGGGAGGCAGCAGUGGGGAAUAUUGCACAAUGGGCGCAAGCCUGAUGCAGCGACGCCGCGUGGGGGAUGACGGCCUUCGGGUUGUAAACUCCUUUCGCUAGGGACGAAGCGUUUUGUGACGGUACCUGGAGAAGAAGCACCGGCUAACUACGUG
Molecule: ribosomal RNA, 467 nt
Filed under: uncultured bacterium
Lineage: Bacteria
Description: partial 16S ribosomal RNA
Rfam family: Bacterial small subunit ribosomal RNA
Source: RNAcentral